RNAcentral lists this ribosomal RNA (496 nucleotides) under uncultured bacterium. RNAcentral describes it as "partial 16S ribosomal RNA". It matches the Rfam family "Bacterial small subunit ribosomal RNA", at positions 28 to 506 of the family's 1533-position model. The record is from RNAcentral.
GACGAACGCUGGCGGCGUGCCUAAUACAUGCAAGUUGAGCGCUGAAGGUUGGUACUUGUACCAACUGGAUGAGCAGCGAACGGGUGAGUAACGCGUGGGGAAUCUGCCUUUGAGCGGGGGACAACAUUUGGAAACGAAUGCUAAUACCGCAUAAAAACUUUAAACACAAGUUUUAAGUUUGAAAGAUGCAAUUGCAUCACUCAAAGAUGAUCCCGCGUUGUAUUAGCUAGUUGGUGAGGUAAAGGCUCACCAAGGCGAUGAUACAUAGCCGACCUGCGAGGGUGAUCGGCCACAUUGGGACUGAGACACGGCCCAAACUCCUACGGGAGGCAGCAGUAGGGAAUCUUCGGCAAUGGACGAAAGUCUGACCGAGCAACGCCGCGUGAGUGAAGAAGGUUUUCGGAUCGUAAAACUCUGUUGGUAGAGAAGAACGUUGGUGAGAGUGGAAAGCUCAUCAAGUGACGGUAACUACCCAGAAAGGGACGGCUAACUACGG